UACGUAGGGCGCAAGCGUUGUCCGGAAUCAUUGGGCGUAAAGCGCGCGUAGGUGGCCUCAUAAGUCCGCUGUGAAAGUCAAAGGCUCAACCUUUGAAAGCCGGUGGAUACUGUGAGGCUAGAGUACGGAAGAGGCGAGUGGAAUUCCUGGUGUAGCGGUGGAAUGCGCAGAUAUCAGGAGGAACACCUGUGGCGAAAGCGGCGCACUGGACCAUAACUGACGCUGAUGCGCGAAAGCUAGGGGAGCAAACAGG
Molecule: ribosomal RNA, 253 nt
Filed under: uncultured bacterium
Lineage: Bacteria
Description: partial 16S ribosomal RNA
Rfam family: Bacterial small subunit ribosomal RNA
Source: RNAcentral